AGCAGCCGCGGUAAUUCCAGCUCCAAUAGCGUAUAUUAAAGUUGUUGCAGUUAAAAAGCUCGUAGUUGAAUUUCGGGAUCUGUCCAUUGGUCGGGCUUCACGGUCCGUACUGGUUCGAUGGGUUCCUACCUUCUGAAUAACCAGCAUGCCAUUCAUUUGGUGCGCCGGGGAAGCAGAGCUAUUACCUUGAAAAAAUUAGAGUGCUUAAAGCGGGCUAGUGCUUGAAUAGAUUAGCAUGGAAUAAUAAAAUAGGACGGCAUGGUUCUAUUUUGUUGGUUUCUAGGAUCACCGUAAUGAUUAAUAGGGAUAGUUGGGGGCAUUAGUAUUCAAUUGUCAGAGGUGAAAUUCUUGGAUUUAUUGAAGACUAACUUCUGCGAAAGCAUUUGCCAAGGAUGUUUUCAUUAAUCAAGAACGAAAGUUAGGGGAUCGAAGACGAUCAGAUACCGUCGUAGUCUUAACCAUAAACUAUGCCGACUAGGGAUCGGACGAUGUUAAUUUUUUAAUGACUCGUUCGGCGCCUUACG
RNAcentral lists this ribosomal RNA (524 nucleotides) under uncultured Acaulospora. RNAcentral describes it as "SSU rRNA". It matches the Rfam family "Eukaryotic small subunit ribosomal RNA", at positions 569 to 1092 of the family's 1831-position model. The record is from RNAcentral. Lineage: Eukaryota; Fungi; Glomeromycota; Glomeromycetes; Diversisporales; Acaulosporaceae.